UUGGUGACCAGCGGAGGGAUCAUUACCGAGUUUACAACUCCCAAACCCAAUGUGAACGUUACCAAACUGUUGCCUCGGCGGGGUCACGCCCCGGGUGCGUCGCAGCCCCGGAACCAGGCGCCCGCCGGAGGAACCAACCAAACUCUUUCUGUAGUCCCCUCGCGGACGUAUUUCUUACAGCUCUGAGCAAAAAUUCAAAAUGAAUCAAAACUUUCAACAACGGAUCUCUUGGUUCUGGCAUCGAUGAAGAACGCAGCGAAAUGCGAUAAGUAAUGUGAAUUGCAGAAUUCAGUGAAUCAUCGAAUCUUUGAACGCACAUUGCGCCCGCCAGUAUUCUGGCGGGCAUGCCUGUCCGAGCGUCAUUUCAACCCUCGAACCCCUCCGGGGGAUCGGCGUUGGGGAUCGGGACCCCUCACACGGGUGCCGGCCCCUAAAUACAGUGGCGGUCUCGCCGCAGCCUCUCCUGCGCAGUAGUUUGCACAACUCGCACCGGGAGCGCGGCGCGUCCACGUCCGUAAAACACCCAACUUUCUGAAAUGUUGACCUCGGAUCAGGUAGGAAUACCCGCUGAACUUAAGCAUAUCAAUAAGCGGAGGA
Molecule: ribosomal RNA, 597 nt
Filed under: Trichoderma asperellum
Lineage: Eukaryota; Fungi; Ascomycota; Sordariomycetes; Hypocreales; Hypocreaceae
Description: eukaryotic LSU rRNA
Rfam family: 5.8S ribosomal RNA (bases 209-362)
Source: RNAcentral